CGGGCGCUACGGCGCUAGUGGCGGACGGGUGAGUAACACGUGAGAAUCUGGCUUCAGGACGGGGAUAACAAUUGGAAACGAUUGCUAAUACCGGAUGUGCCGAGAGGUGAAAGAUUUAUCGCCUGAAGAUGAGCUCGCGGCUGAUUAGCUAGUUGGUGAGGUAAGAGCUCACCAAGGCGACGAUCAGUAGCUGGUCUAAGAGGAUGAUCAGCCACACUGGGACUGAGACACGGCCCAGGCUCCUACGGGAGGCAGCAGUGGGGAAUUUUCCGCAAUGGGCGCAAGCCUGACGGAGCAAUACCGCGUGGGGGAAGAAGGCCUGUGGGUCGUAAACUCCUUUUGUCAGGGAAGAAGACUGACGGUACCUGACGAAUCGGCAUCGGCUAACUCCGUGCCAGCAGCCGCGGUAAUACGGAGGAUGCAAGCGUUAUCCGGAAUUAUUGGGCGUAAAGCGUCCGCAGGUGGCGAGUCAAGUCUGCUGUCAAAGGUCAGGGCUCAACUCUGAAUCGGCAGUGGAAACUAGCUUGCUAGAGUACGGUAGGGGUAGAGGGAAUUCCCAGUGUAGCGGUGAAAUGCGUAGAUAUUGGGAAGAACACCGGUGGCGAAAGCGCUCUACUGGGCCGAGACUGACACUGAGGGACGAAAGCUAGGGGAGCGAAAGGGAUUAGAUACCCCUGUAGUCCUAGCUGUAAACGAUGGACACUAGGUGUUGGCCGUAUCGACCCGGUCAGUACCGUAGCUAACGCGUUAAGUGUCCCGCCUGGGGAGUACGCACGCAAGUGUGAAACUCAAAGGAAUUGACGGGGGCCCGCACAAGCGGUGGAGUAUGUGGUUUAAUUCGAUGCAACGCGAAGAACCUUACCAGGGCUUGACAUGUCCGGCAUCCUGCCGAAAUGUGGGAGUGCCUUCGGGAACCGGAACACAGUGGUGCAUGGCUGUCGUCAGCUCGUGUCGUGAGAUGUUGGGU
Molecule: ribosomal RNA, 967 nt
Filed under: uncultured bacterium
Lineage: Bacteria
Description: bacterial SSU rRNA
Rfam family: Bacterial small subunit ribosomal RNA
Source: RNAcentral